UACGGAGGGAGCUAGCGUUGUUCGGAAUUACUGGGCGUAAAGCGCACGUAGGCGGCUUUGUAAGUUAGAGGUGAAGGCCCGGAGCUCAACUCCGGAAUUGCCUUUAAGACUGCAUCGCUUGAAUCCAGGAGAGGUGAGUGGAAUUCCGAGUGUAGAGGUGAAAUUCGUAGAUAUUCGGAAGAACACCAGUGGCGAAGGCGGCUCACUGGACUGGUAUUGACGCUGAGGUGCGAAAGCGUGGGGAGCAAACAGG
Molecule: ribosomal RNA, 253 nt
Filed under: uncultured bacterium
Lineage: Bacteria
Description: partial 16S ribosomal RNA
Rfam family: Bacterial small subunit ribosomal RNA
Source: RNAcentral